RNAcentral lists this long non-coding RNA (2427 nucleotides) under Malus domestica (apple). RNAcentral's name for it is "long non-coding RNA (MDOM_LNC013149)". The record is from RNAcentral. Lineage: Eukaryota; Viridiplantae; Streptophyta; Magnoliopsida; Rosales; Rosaceae.
ACCUUCAAGUAGAAAAUCUUCAAAACCCUAGCACUUCUCUCUGUCUCCAAUAUUGCAUAAAAUAAAGCGUACUCUAAAACUGUAGACGGCCAAGCAAUAUAUUUGCUAAGCCACCACACAAACCCUAGCCAACUAAAAUUAAUAAAAACCCUAAAUAAAAAUAGUAAAAUUCGUCUAAAAUCUGAACAGCCACGUUUUGGCCCAUAAGCUGCUCCAAAACUGGCCCAAUACAGCUAGAUUUAAUGUUUGGAAUAUUCUAAACACUUUUUCAGAAGUCCACGAACCCAUCCGAGGUCAUCUUGGGCUCCAAAAACGUCAUUUAAGCCCAAAAACGUCAUUUUCCAGCACUGCGCACUGCUUCUUUAUUUCAUCGCCAGAAAAUAACCGUUUGGCGGAAAAAUCCCAAAUUUUGAUACGAUCAAGCUAAGUGACUCAUGAACGUCCUCCAACUGGAAUUACUCUAAAAUUCGUCCAUUUGGUCUUGUUUUGCUCCAGAGGAAGUCGAAAGUCCUAUAUUAAAAAUACAAUUCAAAGUAUCAAAAUUCUUCUAAUAUAUUAACCAAAAUAUACUAAGAUUAGGGUAAAAUAUAUAAUAUAAAAUCUACUCAUCAAAUACCCCCAAACUUAGCUUUUUGCUUGUCCUCAAGCAAAACAAGACUCAAACAAAAAUAAAAACUUAACAAACUAACUAGCUAAAAUUAACUGACAAAAAUUUUCACCUUCAAAGUUGCAAUCCAUAGUAAAUUUUAAAAACUAGAACAUUUUUUCAAAAGUUCCAACUAAUCCCACCACAGAGUCUAAGCCAUUUAGAAUCAAUUAGAAAAGAAUUCACAAACUUCCUUUGGUGUAAAGUGAACCAACAUAAUUAAGGAGACUCGACUAAAACCCUUACCUCUCGUCCUUAUUUAUUUCACACAUAGUAACUUUAAAUAUAACUCUCUUUCUUUUUCUUUUUUUUUUCUUUUUCACUUUUUUUUUUUCAGUAAUAGUAGUGGUCGUGCAAUGUCGGUUUACUUAAGCUUUCGAUCAAACCCAUGUAGCGAGCUUUAGGUCAAUGACUCCCAAACCACUAGGGCUUUAGGGCACUAGGUGUAGAACACCCCUAAGGACUUAUUAACCCGAGCUGAAAAGGCUACGAAACCAACUAACCACCCUGCCCCAUGCCAAAACUCUACCGUUUGACGCGACAAUCACUGCUGAUUAGGCAGGACUGGCCCGGUUACUAGGCAAAACCUCGGGUGAGACAAUUAUUACUUUUUUUUUUCACACUAAUAACUGACUUUACUUAAAAUAAAAAUUAAAAAUUAAAAAUAAACUUAGACUAAAAACAAGUGUUUCAAUCUCACUCCCCACAAACCAUGUUGGUGUGAUGUGCAAAGUUUAAAGUAUAAUUCAUGAAUUAGUGUCUAAGCAACGAUAAAUAGAAAAGACUCUACUAUGGGAUUAAUCUUCACCAUGUCCAUUUGUUCUAACGUUUAAAAUAAUCUAUGGAUAUUAACUUAAAAAGAAUGAAAACUUUUAACUGACACAAAAAUUAAAAACCAAAAAUGUUAUUUUCCCACCCCCAAACUUAUUUUACACUUUGUCCUCAAGGUGUAGAAAAUAAAAGAAAUAUGAUAAAAAUGAAAUAAACUUAAACUAAAAUAUAAUAAUUAUAAAAGUGAAAAUGAUUAACAAAACUAAAACAAAGAAAGAUAGUACCUGGGCUUGACAAUGAAGUGGCUGGUUGAUAAAUGAAUGGCAAUACAAAACGCCAUGAACCCAUGCAUGGAGAACCGGCCCACAACCAAGGCCAUGUGCACGGCACAUGUGCACCAACUCCUAGCACCAACUUGUGAAAAGCAUUGGAUUCUCUUCUUGGAAAUGUGAAAAGUGGCGUGCAGCUGGCGUCUAUAGGAUUAUAUAAAAGAAACUAUGAGAUAUUUGAAUGGCAUUGGAUGCUAUGAGAGAUUUGAAUGGCAUGCAGCUGGCAUGUCGUGUGAAAAGUGGUGUGCGAUGUCUCAUGUCAGAAGAAGAAAAGUCCCUAUCAGCCCUCAGUUGUUUUGUCAGUCAUUACCACAGAGCCAACGGCUCUCUACCAAUGCAAAACCAUCCGUCUCGGGUAGUACGUGAAGCUGAAGAUAGGCACACGUGUUGCGCAUCCGUUCCACCACGCCUUAGGAUUCCAAAUAAAAGGUUUAGAUCAACCCAUUUGCCCAUAUCUCUCUCUUGCUCGCAGACCCCAUUUUGCUAAAAUGAAAGGACCUCUCUGUCUCUUGUUGGAAAUGUGCCCUAAAACCAAUCAUGUGAUGAUGCUUUACGGACAUUUCACAUGUUAAACUAAUCUAGUUUAAUAUAAAGGGCAAAGAUUAUUGUUUGAGCCGUCUCAUAUAAAUGUAUAUGCUUAAACGAUAAAGUCCAAGGAAUAUGUGAUUGGGAGAAUGUAAU